UCUGUGAAUCGUUACAUCAAAUGAAAGUAGUUUGUAAUACAAAGUGAUAUUACGACAAAAUCAGACGGGAUGAAACAGAAA
Molecule: non-coding RNA, 81 nt
Filed under: unclassified sequences
Description: RAGATH-18 RNA
Rfam family: RAGATH-18 RNA
About the family: Actinobacteria, Firmicutes, Fusobacteria, Thermotogae (1 example). Nearby to self-cleaving ribozyme genes
Source: Rfam by way of RNAcentral